CUGCUUUUAAUUAUUUUGCUGAGUAGCUAACAGGAAAAUACUAUCUACGAAUUUGGAGUUCAACUCGAAAGUGAGAACUCUAGAUUGCAUAUAGAAUUAAAUUGAGCAAGUUCUUGAACCUGGGCAUCGCGGAACGGAUUCGCAAUUAGGAUAUACAUAUACCUAAUUGCCUUGCUUGGUUGAAAUACAGGAGAUUCAUUCUUGUUAAUCUUAAUUUCAUAGACAUAUAGGCAUUAAGUUAGCUUGAAUAGGCGAGUAAGGACUCGA
RNAcentral lists this long non-coding RNA (267 nucleotides) under Nicotiana benthamiana. RNAcentral's name for it is "long non-coding RNA (NBEN_LNC001468)". The record is from RNAcentral. Lineage: Eukaryota; Viridiplantae; Streptophyta; Magnoliopsida; Solanales; Solanaceae.